UGUGAGGGGAGGUAGAAGAGACAGAGACAGGAUAAAAUAAGACUAAGAAGAAGCCGACACAGCCUGAUCUUGUACCGUAGCUCCAGAUCUAAGUCUUGCAGCUGUUUCAGGAACCCUCGGUUCGGGGAGAUGGCUCGAUUCUGCAGGACCUUUCUGACGGCAUCAGCCAGGGAGAAAUUCUGACAGAUCAUGAGCUGUCCAUCACAUGCUCCAACUCUUGGACGGAGGGUGAGGCAGAUCUGCGGCUGUUCAUUUUGCAAAAGGAGGCGGUCGUCUUUGGAAAGGGGUCAUCCGUUGUCAUGCGAUGAUACAUGGUCGUUGCAGAGCCCCAAUGAGCUCCAGUUACCUUUCGACAUUUGACAGGGAGAAGCAGUUGCUUCAGGAACCCUCGGUUGGGGAAAAUCCACCGACGUUCUUUCACUGCCUGAAUGGCUUUCAGCAAAGAGAAGCGAUGGUAGAUCAUGAGAUAUGCCAGCACCAAUGAAGACGACCGGCUUAUCCCCACUGCGCAGUGCACUAAGAUUUUGCCUGAAAAUGAAGUAAACCACAUUUUUUAAUCAUCUUAAAAGAUGGCAUUUUUAAAGUACAGAGAAGGCAGAAUUCAACCAUUUCUGAAACAGUUCGUGGUUCCUGACCUUGGACAGAAAGACUGUCAUCCCUGCCUGGAUACCAUCAGCCUGAGAAUGCUCGCUGGGCUUGCUUACUCCCAAAACGUCUGUGGGCUCAGCCUCACCAGAACUGGACAGAUCUAUAAAGACAUGGCUUUACGCUGGAGUUAAAGGAACUCUAACUGCCUUUCAAUCAAGCACUCUUCAUUCAGACAUUAUUGCCAUGGAUUGGACAGGCAUUUUUUUGAGGUUUUUUUUCUCUGGACCCUUGGCUGCCAGGCUCAGCAACACAAGGAUCGUGGAUUAGGAAGAACGCCCAAGGUGCAAUGAGUUUUAUAUGUCUUAUGCACAAAGACAAGCCUGUUAAUCACAAAAAGUAAAGUCUGAUUCCAGAUUGUAGAGCUAAGGCUUGACAUAUGGACCAGGAGAUUCUGAAAGACAUGGUAAUGGCGAGGCAGAACAGUAAGUGGAUUAUGAUGCUUCCGAAGAUCACUUCUUCUCCUAGCCGGCUUACGGAUUUUGAGCAACACAAGCAGCAAAACCGUUAUUUAUUAAGGGUUCUACACUCCUCCUGUGCUUGCCGAUAUUAUAUUGCUCAUCAGUGAAUCCACCUGAGCCGACAAUUUAAAACGCUGAUGCGCUAUUUCAUAUUUUAGAGCAGGUUGGGGGGAAUUUGAUUUCAGAAGAGAGCAAGAUUUCAACAAGGUCCGAAUGUGUGGCUGACACUUGGAAACAUUCAAGGUUAAAUUGCAGAAAAGCAAAAUGUUUUAACAGCAUUUGCUGCGGUGUUUCUUUUUUAAAAAAACAACAAAAUAGUACACCAACACUUUCAAUACAAAUGUCUCCCUCAGAUACUGUACAUUUCUUUAUUUUUAAACCGAUGAUUUUGUGGCUUCAGCACAAUGGCGGAUCAAGUUGUAGAACCAAGGGUUUAAUGUCACAUACUCUGAAAUAAAAGGGGUAAUAACCUAUUCCCAUGCUGCCUAAAUAUGAGACAGGUCUAUCAAUAACUAAGCCACAAUAGCUUAGCGGAAUCCCCACAGAUAAAGUUUACUUCUGAAGACUAGUUGCUGGAUACCGCAAGUGGGAGAAGGCUGUUUCCUUCAGGGCCCAGUUCUGUACUUCCCAGAAGCAUUAGGCUGACCACUGUUCAAAACAGGAUGCUGACUUAGAACCACUGAUAGGUGCAUUUGAAGGUAAGCUCCCAGCGCCAUUCAGCUGAUUGGACUACAGUACUGCAAUGUGCUCUACGUGGGGCUACCUUUGAAGGUGACCCAGAAACUACAAUUAAUCCAGAAUGCGACAGGUAGACUGGUAACUGGG
Molecule: long non-coding RNA, 1931 nt
Organism: Podarcis muralis (Common wall lizard)
Lineage: Eukaryota; Metazoa; Chordata; Lepidosauria; Squamata; Lacertidae
Source: RefSeq, a predicted model, not a curated record